RNAcentral lists this ribosomal RNA (518 nucleotides) under uncultured bacterium. Its description in RNAcentral is "partial 16S ribosomal RNA". It matches the Rfam family "Bacterial small subunit ribosomal RNA", at positions 29 to 507 of the family's 1533-position model. The record is from RNAcentral.
ACGAACGCUGGCGGCGUGCCUAAUACCUGCAAGUCGAGCGAGUCUGCCUUGAAGAUCGGAGUGCUUGCACUCUGUGAAACAAGAUACAGGCUAGCGGCGGACGGGUGAGUAACACGUGGGUAACCUGCCCAAGAGAUCGGGAUAACACCUGGAAACAGAUGCUAAUACCGGAUAACAACAGAUGAUGCCUAUCAACUGUUUAAAAGAUGGUUCUGCUAUCACUCUUGGAUGGACCUGCGGUGCAUUAGCUAGUUGGUAGGGUAACGGCCUACCAAGGCGAUGAUGCAUAGCCGAGUUGAGAGACUGAUCGGCCACAUUGGGACUGAGACACGGCCCAAACUCCUACGGGAGGCAGCAGUAGGGAAUCUUCCACAAUGGACGCAAGUCUGAUGGAGCAACGCCGCGUGAGUGAAGAAGGGUUUCGGCUCGUAAAGCUCUGUUGUUGGUGAAGAAGGACAGGGGUAGUAACUGACCUUUGUUUGACGGUAAUCAAUUAGAAAGUCACGGCUAACUACGUG